Small nucleolar RNA from Ochotona curzoniae (black-lipped pika), 114 nucleotides. Lineage: Eukaryota; Metazoa; Chordata; Mammalia; Lagomorpha; Ochotonidae. The record is from RefSeq and is a predicted model, not a curated record.
UGUCUCCUCCUUAGAAGCUGAGCUCCUCGGGGGCAAACAAGGGCCUUGAGUUUUUAUGAAUCACAUUGUUUGGCAUGUAGUAACAGUUACUCAAUAUUCAUAGAAAAUAAACAA